UCUGGUUGCAAUCUUCCUUGGCUUCCUUCUGGCCUGCUGGUGGUGAAAGUCUGUUUGGUUUGGUAGACCUGGCUGUAUUUUUGCAGAACGCAGGCCCAAAGAGAAGAGCAGGAAAUAAAGUGUGUCCUUGUUAAGCUACCAGUCUGUAGUUUUCUGGCUCCUCCCCUUCUCAAAGAUAGGGACACUUGCUUGUCUCCAGUCUUCUGGCAUCUCACCGUCCUUCAAGAAUGGCAGGCAGCAGGUCUGAGACCACCUUUGGAAGUUUCUUUAGUACUCUGGAAUGCAACUCAUCUGGCCCUUGAGACUUGUGUUCAUAUAAGUUGCUGAGAUAUUCCUUCUUGAAAACACUAGUGGAAGAGUUUGCCUGCUGAGCAAUGGUGAAGAUAGAUCAUAACUUAACUUGUCUGAGUCUGAAGAGGAGUGUCUUUCUAUGUACAUGGUGACCUAUGGGAGGGUUGGCUUCCAACAGGGCACAUGCCAGGAGUCGGGAUCAAAAAGUCACAGACAACACACGAGAUCAAAGAAGACCUUGUUGCUCAGGUAAAGCCUCAGCUCAGACAGAAAGCUCUUUAUAGUCCUUCCUGUUCAGAAGGAUUCAAUUUUCAGCCCGGAUGGGCAAGGUCAGGCUGAGAACUUUUUAUUCCUGUGAUAGUUCCGGGCUGCAGUUCUGGCAACGUGCCAUGAGGGGCAGCAGUUCACAACAUUUCAGGCACAGGUUGUUCCUAACCAAUGUGGAGAGGAGUAUAACAGUUUUAAAAGAUUCUAUAGGCCAUUUACACAUUCAGUU
Hemicordylus capensis (graceful crag lizard) is the source of this 787-nucleotide long non-coding RNA. RefSeq lists it as uncharacterized. The record is from RefSeq and is a predicted model, not a curated record. Lineage: Eukaryota; Metazoa; Chordata; Lepidosauria; Squamata; Cordylidae. The transcript is spliced from 3 exons.